This is a long non-coding RNA of Phacochoerus africanus (Common warthog), 551 nucleotides long. RefSeq lists it as uncharacterized. The record is from RefSeq and is a predicted model, not a curated record. The transcript has 3 exons. NCBI's taxonomy places the organism in Eukaryota, Metazoa, Chordata, Mammalia, Artiodactyla, Suidae.
AGCAAGCCUGAGACUGGGAGGAAAUGGCCAAGAAUGUGUACCCAGAAGAUCUGAAGUGUUCCUGCGAAUGAGUAAUAAAAGACAAGAGAACAGCAGCAACAAAGAUGGGCAACUCCAACAGGUGAUUCCUGCAGAUCGAUGAAUGGAAAACAAGCACAUCAAAGUUGCUCAACGUCAUUUGCAUCCAGAGAAUGCAAAUUAAGCCGGCAGGGACCUAGGGUUCCACCCACGCAAGAGUGGAUGGACUGAAAAGCCCCACAAGACCAGGUGCUGCUGAGGACCGGGAGGACGGCUCCCUCUUACACUGAUGAGGAGAAUGCCAAAUGGUCCAGGCCUUUGGGAAACCAAACUAUUGCAUUUGGAAUGGGCACACCCCUUCACCCCCAUAUACCUGAACCCCGGGAAAGCAUUCAUCUCUUCUCCAUCUUGCUAAUCAAAUGUUACGUCAACAAUGUUAGAAUUUCUGGGUCACAGAGCACCUCUAUGUUUAACCUUUGGAAGAACUGGCAGACUGUUUUCCAAACUGGUUGCAUUAUUUUUCAGUCCUACCA